CCGCCACCGCGAGGGAAAGGCGACGAACCAGGUCAGGUGGGGAACCAAGCAGCCUUAAAUCGUUUGCCCCUGUGCGGUGGUUUUUC
Molecule: signal recognition particle RNA, 86 nt
Filed under: Bacillota bacterium
Lineage: Bacteria; Bacillati; Bacillota
Description: signal recognition particle sRNA small type
Rfam family: Bacterial small signal recognition particle RNA
About the family: The signal recognition particle (SRP) is a universally conserved ribonucleoprotein involved in the co-translational targeting of proteins to membranes. Archaeal SRP consists of a 7S RNA and homologues of the eukaryotic SRP19 and SRP54 proteins. In most bacteria, the SRP consists of a 4.5S RNA and the Ffh protein (a homologue of the eukaryotic SRP54 protein).
Source: RNAcentral